UUUUUAUCUUCGCUCUUUGAGCAUUAUUUGAUUUUUAAAUACAUUUUAUAACUAGUUUAAAGCUCCAUUUAUACUACGCUUAGUUUUUGGUACGGCGCGGAAAAAAUUUUGGUACCCAUACCACAUUUUUGGUCCUUGGACUACCUAUUUAGAUAGUCCAAGAACCAAAAAAAGUGGUACGCUACCAAAAAUCAAGCGCAUUGUAAACGGGGCUUAAAUAUUGAAAAUGUAUUUGCUAACCUAUAGACAGACAACUGCUGGAAGUAUUUUCAUUUUGUUUUUAUUCCUAUUAAUGCUAUAUAAAGCGAAUAACCUGCUGUUUUCUCGUUUAGAAAACCUCUGUAAAUUUUGAGCCUCCAUCUUGUGUUUUUUUUUACUGAUAGGAUAUGAGCUAUUGUUAUAUACUCACAUGCCAUUGACCAAUCACGCAUCUUCAGUAGUGUCACGUGUAUGCCCGAUGUUUUACGCAGGGGCGUAACUAGCCCCUUUUGAUUGGGGGGAGGGUGUCUGCCAGAAUUGCCCUGCCAAACCGAUGAUGCCCUGCAGCAAAAAAUUUUUUUUGUCAAUAUUUCACCUAAAAAAGUUGGGGGGGGGGGAGGUCGAAUAAAUGUUUUCAGGACAUUCAAAAAAGGGGCCAAAAAACUUUUUCCGGACAAAAACCAGUUAAAUUAAAGGUAAAAAAAAAUUUUUCGGACAUACACCAGUUCAAUUAAAGGUCAAAAAAAAUUUUUCGGACAAAUUCCUGUUAACACAUGCAUGAAACCCUUAUUUUUUGAACAAUAUCUGAAAUUUAAAAUCUUUCAUUGCCCUGCCAAUCCAGAUGAUUUGCCAUAGGAUAUUGAGGCGGUGAAUCAGUUUUUUUUUGAGAAACUAUGAAAAUCUUCGAGUCUUUUCAAUUCUUUUUAAUUUCUUAAAAUUUUCGACUAGAUUUUCAGUAGUUUUUCCCGACCUUUUCUUAAUUUUUGCCCGACGAGAGUACGAUUGCGAAAGAUUGGGGGGGGGGGGUGACAUUGGGGGAGGGGUGAGACACCCCCCCUGUAGGUACGCCCCUGGUUUUACGAUGGAGGACAAUGCAUAUAGACCAAUGGCACAUGACGUCACAGUGCCGGUGACGAUGCAUCUGGAGGACAAAUUAGCAAUCUAUGCAUAAUAUAACUUUUAUAAGCAAAGCAAAUUUUGUAAAACUUUAUAAUAAUUUUGUAUUAUUAAAAAUAAAAUGGUUAAUUUUUGCCCUGUAUGUGGUUAUUGUUCCCAAAUAGAUAUUGUUUGGGAGCAUCUGGAGGACACUCUAAGGAUUUGUGACGUCAGUGCAGUGGAUCUAAUAUUUUCCUGACUUAUCAACUCAUCAUACAGCUCAGUUGCUCAGUGCGCUAACUGCAGUUAACUUUAACCACGUUUUUAUGUAACCGG
This is a non-coding RNA of Paramuricea clavata, 1410 nucleotides long. The record is from the annotation of a GenBank genome assembly. NCBI's taxonomy places the organism in Eukaryota, Metazoa, Cnidaria, Anthozoa, Malacalcyonacea, Plexauridae.